RNAcentral lists this long non-coding RNA (2608 nucleotides) under Homo sapiens (human). Its description in RNAcentral is "HSALNT0330235". The record is from RNAcentral. Lineage: Eukaryota; Metazoa; Chordata; Mammalia; Primates; Hominidae.
AGAAGCCUGGGAGCUGCCUUGAAGGAAAAGGUGCCUCCCAGGCCAGGCAGGGGCCCUGGAGGUGUGCUCAGCCUUGUGGGAGGGCAGCCCUGGCAGGUGGAAGGAGUGUGCUGACUCCUGCCCUGCCCACCUCCCAGAGCUGUGACGUGGGCUCAGGAAGACACAUGUCAGCCCUGGAAAUGGGCUGUGACUAGGGGUGGAGAGAAGAUGGAAGAAGGUUCCUCCCAUGCUUCUCCUCUCUCUCCAGGUGCUCCAUGGACACUCAUGUCGCCAUUCACCUAUUAAGGAUGUGCUCUUUCCCAAGGAGAGGGAGCUCUGUUGCCUCCUUCCCACAGAAUCACUCUGUGCAAACCUCUUCCCCUCCUUGGCCCCAGUCUCCCCAAUUCUAAAAUCGGAUACUGGAUAAAAUGCCACGGAAGAACCUAGGGAUGCACCAGGAACCACGCGCCUGAAUGCCACAGGUUUGAUUUGAUGCAACUGCAGCUCUGUAAGCAAAUCUGAGACGUGUUCACAUGUGGCAGCUGUGCAUGGGUGAGGGGGCCUUCAGGAAGGUAUGUGCCAGUGUGUACCCCAUGCAUGGAUGUGUGUCUGAGGGCCUCCAUGUGUGUGCAGUUGUGUGAGUGCAUAUGUGUGAUGGUUUGCAUGAGAACAUGGCAUCUAUACAUCAUGUGUAGAUACAUGUGUGUUUACGGAUGGAUGUGAAAGCAUGUAUGUGUGAGUGCAUGGUGAGGUGUAUGUGAACCUGUGAGCAGUGCUCCUCACCAUCACCCUCCUGUUACAAUCACUGUGGAGCAGGGGAGUGGAGGGGGAGUAGGCAGCUUCCUGCCCAGGCUCCUGCUCCAUCUGCCCUCUCUGUCACAGCCUGAGGAGCAGGAGCCUUGUUCUGGGCCCAGUGACCACUGUCAGCUGUUAACACGCACACAGGUCCCUCUGCCUGAACAAAACAGACAUGUCCAGUGGCAGGACUCAUCUGACAACACAGACCCACACCCCUCCCCACCCCAGAGGCUCAGAACAGUGUCCACUAGAGUUGGAAGUGGCUCUAAAUCUGCUACACACCUCCAGCCUCCAAUAACAAGUGGCCACCAGCAAAGGCAGGGAGGCAUCAGCGGUGAGUACCCAGGUUUCCCCCAGAGCAUCCGAGUGGGAGGGAAUUUGGCUUGGCAAAAUCUUCCAACAACUCCCAGAGCCUGAACAACCUUUUCCCAGCCCCAGGUGGGUGGAAGAACACAGCCUGCUGCCUCAUCACCAUGGAGACAGGCAGUAGAGAGGGUGGUUAAAAGCAUGGGCCCAGACCUCCUGGGGUUCAAAUCUCAGCUCCUCCACCCACAGGCUGUGAGACUUUGACAAUUCACUUAAAUUCCUUAUGCCUUAGUUUCCUCAUCUGUAAAACAGAGAUAAGAAAAGUAUGAACUUCACAGGAUUGUUUAUAGGAUUAAAUACUCCAUAUGGCGCAUUUAGCACAGUGCUGGGCAGCUGAACUGGGAGGCAUAAGCCCUGGGUUCCAGCCCUAGCUUUGCCACCAACUUACUGUGUGAGUUUGGACAAGUCACUUGCCAUCUCUGGCACUCAGAGUCUCCAUCUGCACAACAAUCUCAAGAAACGCUACCAGUUAUGACCAGCUGAGACUUUGGGGAGGGCAGCUUAGCAUGGGGCUGUCUUGGUGAGCUGGGGGCCCUAGUGUUGGCUGAGGCCUGAUCAUGAGCUCUACACUACCCUUUCCUCCCCAGAUCUAUUUUCCCAAAUUGGCAGCAGCUGAUGGCAUCUCUCUGUACCCUCUAUCCCUCUAGCCUGCCCACAGGGCCCUGUGUUGCCCUGCUCAGCUGGUACUCAGGCCUUGGAGAAAUGGCACUGGUACCCACUGACCCCAAACAAAGGUAUCUGCAGUGCCCAAAGCAGAAGAUAUAGUGGCUCAUACUUAAACCUGCCUGUGAGCCCUCUAGAGAGGCAGGUACAAUUGCGGAAGGAUGGAUGUAAUUGUUUGAAGAUGCUCAUAAUCCUUCGGCGGUAAUGGCAGGAAGCUUUAAAAUGAAGCCCUAAUCCGCUAAUAACCUGGCAGCCCCACAGCCUUCUUCCCUCCUGAUCUCCAGGAAGGGAGAAGGAACUCUAGCCACUCCCUUUCCCAAGGGAGCAGAAAGGCAAGUGUGGGCUCUGACCCAAGACCACCGGAUUUUGACUCUCCUGCAAGACCCAGCUUCCUUCCUGCCUCCAUCUCCAAGAAGUCUUCCCUGCCCAUUUCAUCCUUCUGAAGUCUUUUCUGCCCCCUCUGUCCCUAGAAAUAUUCUAGGACAGAACUGGAUGACAGACUGGCUGGACAGUAAAGAAAGGAAUGAGGCCUGGUGCGGUGGCUCACGCCUAUAAUCCCAGCACUUUGGGAGGCCGAGGCAGGCAGACCGCCUGAGGUUAGGAGUUCGAGGCCAGCCUGGCCAACAUGGUGAAAUCCCAUCUCUACUAAAAAUACAAAAAUUAGCUGGGCAUGGUGGCGGGCACCUGUAAUCCCAGCUACUUGGGAGGCUGAGGCAGGAGAAUUGCUUGAACCCGGUAGGCGGAGGUCGCAAUGAGCCGAGAUCAUGCCACUGCACUCCAGCCUGGGCGACAGAGCAAAAUA